UUUUACAAUGUAGAGUUUGAUCCUGGCUCAGGAUGAACGCUAGCUACAGGCUUAACACAUGCAAGUCGCAGGGUAACAUGAGGAAAGCUUGCUUUCCUUGAUGACGACUGGCGCACGGGUGAGUAACGCGUAUCCAACCUUCCCAUAACUACGGGAUAACCCGUUGAAAGACGGCCUAAUAC
RNAcentral lists this ribosomal RNA (182 nucleotides) under Hoylesella timonensis. RNAcentral's name for it is "Prevotella timonensis partial 16S ribosomal RNA". It matches the Rfam family "Bacterial small subunit ribosomal RNA", at positions 1 to 169 of the family's 1533-position model. The record is from RNAcentral. Lineage: Bacteria; Pseudomonadati; Bacteroidota; Bacteroidia; Bacteroidales; Prevotellaceae.